RNAcentral lists this ribosomal RNA (250 nucleotides) under uncultured bacterium. RNAcentral's name for it is "partial 16S ribosomal RNA". It matches the Rfam family "Bacterial small subunit ribosomal RNA", at positions 525 to 775 of the family's 1533-position model. The record is from RNAcentral.
ACGUAGGUCCCGAGCGUUGUCCGGAUUUAUUGGGCGUAAAGCGAGCGCAGGCGGUUUAAUAAGUCUGAAGUUAAAGGCAGUGGCUUAACCAUUGUUCGCUUUGGAAACUGUUAAACUUGAGUGCAGAAGGGGAGAGUGGAAUUCCAUGUGUAGCGGUGAAAUGCGUAGAUAUAUGGAGGAACACCGGUGGCGAAAGCGGCUCUCUGGUCUGUAACUGACGCUGAGGCUCGAAAGCGUGGGGAGCAAACAG